Molecule: unclassified non-coding RNA, 342 nt
Filed under: Hevea brasiliensis (rubber tree)
Lineage: Eukaryota; Viridiplantae; Streptophyta; Magnoliopsida; Malpighiales; Euphorbiaceae
Source: RNAcentral
UGAAAACUACAUCGGAUUCAUCCUGAGAAGGAAAUGAGAUGAUAAGAAAAUUGGAAGGCACUAAAUAAUAUUAAAAAAAAAUUUCUGCGUUAAGUAAAUCCCACAUAUAUAUACUAAAAAACUUAACAGCCAAAUUGAAGACAAGUAGACAACAAAGGUAAAAUCACCCCUACUAUUACAGAGAUUUGUCAAUUCUCAACUACAAUGAAAAAGAUUUUAAAUUAAUUUCUAUCUUUGUUAAUUGUCUUCCGCAUCUAGGAUUUUCAAUUCUCAUCCCAACAAUAACCAACCUGAUUUCAUAUUAAUAUGGAUAUGGUAGAACCAAACCUUUCUUAUCAUGAG